This 410-nucleotide ribosomal RNA is filed under the name uncultured bacterium. RNAcentral's name for it is "bacterial SSU rRNA". It matches the Rfam family "Bacterial small subunit ribosomal RNA", at positions 509 to 917 of the family's 1533-position model. The record is from RNAcentral.
CAGCAGCCGCGGUAAUACGAAGGGUGCAAGCGUUACUCGGAAUUACUGGGCGUAAAGCGUGCGUAGGUGGUGCGUUAAGUCUGUUGUGAAAUCCCUGGGCUCAACCUGGGAAUUGCAGUCGAUACUGGGAAGCUAGAGUUCGGUAGAGGACGGCGGAAUUUCCGGUGUAGCGGUGAAAUGCGUAGAGAUCGGAAGGAACACCAGUGGCGAAGGCGGCUACCUGGACAGAUACUGACACUGAGGCGCGAAAGCGUGGGGAGCAAACAGGAUUAGAUACCCUGGUAGUCCACGCUGUAAACGAUGGGCACUUGGUGUUGCGGGUAUCGACCCCUGCAGUGCCGAAGCUAACGCAUUAAGUGCUCCGCCUGGGGAGUACGGUCGCAAGAUUAAAACUCAAAGGAAUUGACGGG